RNAcentral lists this long non-coding RNA (1162 nucleotides) under Fukomys damarensis (Damara mole-rat). RNAcentral describes it as "lncRNA (ENSFDAG00000027563.1)". The record is from RNAcentral. Lineage: Eukaryota; Metazoa; Chordata; Mammalia; Rodentia; Bathyergidae.
ACCACUUCCCCCAGAGGAACAGUCUGAUGUGAUAAGAGCAAAGUAAUACAAAACAGACAGCUCACAUUUCCCUGAAACUAGAACUGCAAGAGGGUUUUGGCAGUUCCCAGAUGGCUGUGGAAGUCAGUGUAAGUUCUUCCCCCGGCUCCGGGUGGGGAAGGGGUGGGGGACCUUGCCUCUAAGGCUCCAUGCUGAUUCUAUGGCAGAGAGCGCAAAGCCUUGGAAAGAGCAGCCCUCUUUCCUCCGCUCCCGACAGUGUUGCUUUUCCCAGCAUCGCACACAUAGGAAUGAGGAGUCCUGCUUCACUUCGCUGGCUCCUUCUUCUACACCCAUACCUUUCGUCCCCCACAGCUGCCUCGCUAAAUCGCCCGGCUCCGAAAGAACUCCCCACGCUCUUGGCUGUUUUCUUGCCGCGCAGAGGGCUCAUCUUGAAUCAAGAGGCAGCAGGGUAUUCUUGCAGUGUGGAUAACAGUGUCUGUGGAAUCUCUACCUGUUCCAACCUUCAGCUCUUUUCAGCGCGAUACACUCACUCUAAAGUACAGGGACUUUACAGUCAGACAGACCCGACUUAGCACCUUGACUGCCCAACUUACUGCAUGAACCGUGGGCACUUCUGAGUGUCUUGGUGAGAUACGAUUUUUAAAAAUGCAGUGGACGCUACUGAUGCGUUCCGUUCCAUCCAGUGAAAGGACAGGUUUGUAAAAACAUUAGGGUGUGUGUUCAUCCACCUCAUUCGCUAAGCCUAGCACCAUGUGACUUCGGAGCCCCCCGCCAUCAAAUGGCUAUGCACGGUCCAAGUUUUGUGUUGAUUCAACUCAUCAAGGCAGCCAUCACAGCACAACUCAAGACCCUCAGGAUAGAGGACUUCCGGAGCUGCUUCAGAAAGAGGCAAGCAUGAUGGUGUAGUAAUGGCAAUGUGUCUUUUCCUGGAGUACAUUUUUUAAACCAUUACUUUUAAAUCACAACCAGGGUAUAUUCACAUACACGCAAAAACUUAUCCAAGUAUUUACUGAUAUUGUGUGUACAAUAUUCAAAAUAACAUUGACAUCAAGGAAAUGCACAUUUCAAGAACUUAAGUAAUGAAUCUUUAUCUCGCCGUGUCUACCCCUCGCUUUCUUCUCUUGCCUCUUUGUCUUUUCCCCCAUGCCUCAAUGAACCAGGC